RNAcentral lists this ribosomal RNA (687 nucleotides) under uncultured bacterium. Its description in RNAcentral is "bacterial SSU rRNA". It matches the Rfam family "Bacterial small subunit ribosomal RNA", at positions 813 to 1500 of the family's 1533-position model. The record is from RNAcentral.
CGACUUGGAGGUUGUGCCCUUGAGGCGUGGCUUCCGGAGCUAACGCGUUAAGUCGACCGCCUGGGGAGUACGGCCGCAAGGUUAAAACUCAAAUGAAUUGACGGGGGCCCGCACAAGCGGUGGAGCAUGUGGUUUAAUUCGAUGCAACGCGAAGAACCUUACCUACUCUUGGCAUCCAGAGAACUUAGCAGAGAUGCUUUGGUGCCUUCGGGAACUCUGAGACAGGUGCUGCAUGGCUGUCGUCAGCUCGUGUUGUGAAAUGUUGGGUUAAGUCCCGCAACGGGCGCAACCCUUAUCCUUUGUUGCCAGCGGUUAGGCCGGGAACUCAAAGGAGACUGCCAGUGAUAAACUGGAGGAAGGUGGGGAUGACGUCAAGUCAUCAUGGCCCUUACGAGUAGGGCUACACACGUGCUACAAUGGCGCAUACAAAGAGAAGCGACCUCGCGAGAGCAAGCGGACCUCAUAAAGUGCGUCGUAGUCCGGAUUGGAGUCUGCAACUCGACUCCAUGAAGUCGGAAUCGCUAGUAAUCGUAGAUCAGAAUGCUACGGUGAAUACGUUCCCGGGCCUUGUACACACCGCCCGUCACACCAUGGGAGUGGGUUGCAAAAGAAGUAGGUAGCUUAACCUUCGGGAGGGCGCUUACCACUUUGUGAUUCAUGACUGGGGUGAAGUCGUAACAAGGUAAC